GUCCCCGUAGCUCAAUUGGAGAGAGCAUCACCCUGCGAAGGUGAAGGUUGAUCGUUCGAAUCGAUUCGGGGACGCCA
RNAcentral lists this transfer RNA (77 nucleotides) under compost metagenome. RNAcentral describes it as "tRNA-Arg". It matches the Rfam family "tRNA". From Rfam's summary of the family: Transfer RNA (tRNA) molecules are approximately 80 nucleotides in length. Their secondary structure includes four short double-helical elements and three loops (D, anti-codon, and T loops). Further hydrogen bonds mediate the characteristic L-shaped molecular structure. tRNAs have two regions of fundamental functional importance: the anti-codon, which is responsible for specific mRNA codon recognition, and the 3' end, to which the tRNAs corresponding amino acid is attached (by aminoacyl-tRNA synthetases). tRNAs cope with the degeneracy of the genetic code in two manners: having more than one tRNA (with a specific anti-codon) for a particular amino acid; and 'wobble' base-pairing, i.e. permitting non-standard base-pairing at the 3rd anti-codon position. The record is from RNAcentral.